ACUUUUUCGGAAAAACGGAUAGAUUAUUGGCUGUCGUGCUUCAUUCAUUGUUCAUGAGAUAUUCUGUUCUACCACGUUAUAUUUGCCAUAGCUGAGAUAUUUCGAUUGAUUCCGAUUUUUUCAUUUAUUUCUAAACGUGCAGUUUGGCUGGACGGAUUAUAUACCACUAAAGACAGGUAUUGGCAGAUAUUCAUUAAAGAAAGAAGAUAUAAGCGGCAAUACGGAGGUUAAGUUGCAAAGGAUUGCAAGUCGAAAUAUCCAAAAAUGUAUCUAAUGUAUUAUUUGGACGACAAAGGAAACCGAGUGUACACUUUGCAGAAAGUGGACCCUAAUGGAAAGCCUACGAUGUCUGCACAUCCAGCUCGAUUUUCUGUAGAGGACAAAUAUUCAAGAGAAAGAAUUAUAAUGAAAAGAAGAUUUGGCCUAUUGUUGACGCAACAACCACAACCUAGCUACUAAUAUUAAAUAUAUUCUGAUGGAACUGCUGGCAGAACAUGCACCUGUUGUGCUUUACUGGCAUUAUACACUUGUCCCGGACUAAAUGGUUCUAAUCGAGGACCGGAUCCUAAAUCAUUUUUAUUACGGACGAUAUCUUAAAAUGGAAACAAAUAAAACAAUUACAGAAAUUCAUACAACUUAGAGGUAUAUAACGAGAUAAUCUAACAACAGGGAGAGGCAAAUAACCACUUGUCAGAGGCAUUACAUCUAAUGUAACACUUUGU
Acromyrmex echinatior (Panamanian leafcutter ant) is the source of this 722-nucleotide RNA transcript. It is a transcript of the gene named Nop10 ribonucleoprotein, with no coding region annotated. NCBI's taxonomy places the organism in Eukaryota, Metazoa, Arthropoda, Insecta, Hymenoptera, Formicidae. The record is from RefSeq and is a predicted model, not a curated record.